Molecule: transfer RNA, 62 nt
Filed under: Mytella strigata
Lineage: Eukaryota; Metazoa; Mollusca; Bivalvia; Mytilida; Mytilidae
Description: Musculus strigatus tRNA-Cys
Source: RNAcentral
GACUCGGUAGUUAAAUAAUAAUGACAAAUUGCAAAUUUGUAGUUACAUUCUUGUCUGAGUCU